Molecule: ribosomal RNA, 1026 nt
Filed under: Atherinomorus endrachtensis
Lineage: Eukaryota; Metazoa; Chordata; Actinopteri; Atheriniformes; Atherinidae
Description: partial 16S ribosomal RNA
Rfam family: Bacterial large subunit ribosomal RNA
Source: RNAcentral
AGCCUAAUAGCUAGCCCAGCCGAACAAGCACAACACUCACAUAUUUAUAAACCCUAAAACACCUAACAGCAUAAAUAAAUCAUUCUCCCUCCUGAGUAUAGGCGAUAGAAAAGGGACUAGGCGCAAUAGAAAAAGUACCGUAAGGGAAAGCUGAAAGAGAAGUGAAACAACUCAGUAAAGCACAAAGAAGCAGAGCUUUUCCCUCGUACCUUUUGCAUCAUGUUUUAGCUAGAGCCCCUCAAGCGAAAAGCAUUUUAGUUUGACCACCCGAAACUAGGUGAGCUACUCCAAGACAGCCUGACAAUAGGGCCAACCCGUCUCUGUGGCAAAAGAGUGGGAAGAGCUUCGAGUAGAGGUGACAGACCUACCGAGCCUAGUUAUAGCUGGUUACCUGGGAAUUGAAUAGAAGUUCAGCCUCUUGAAUUCUUUCCUCCCCGAUAGUAAUUCUAAGUCGAGACACAAAGAAAUCUAGAGAGUUAGUCAAAGGGGGUACAGCCCCUUUGAAACAAGACACAACUUUAUUAGGAGGAUAAGGAUCAAACUCAAAUCAAGGUUAAACAUUUCGGUGGGCCUAAAAGCAGCCACCCCUAGAAGAAAGCGUUAAAGCUCAAAUGUACCCAAAACCCUUAAUUCUGAUCAUAAAUUCCUACCCCCCCUUGCCCUACCAGGUCUUCCGAUAUCUUUUAUCGGAGCGACCAUGCUAAUAUGAGUAACAAGAGAGCCUAGACUCUCUCCGUGCACACGUGUAACUCGAAACGGACCUUCCACCGAACAUUAACGGCCCCAAUAAAAGAGGGCAUCGGGCUACAAAUAGAGAACUAGAAAAUCGCCCGAGAAUUACCGUUAACCCCACACUGGUGCGCUCACACGGAAAGACCUAAAGAAAGAGAAGGAACUCGGCAAAAAUACUUAAAGCCUCGCCUGUUUACCAAAAACAUCGCCUCUUGUAUACUAGAAAUAAGAGGUCCCGCCUGCCCUGUGACUAUAAGUUUAACGGCCGCGGUAUUUUGACCGUGCGAAGGUAGC